RNAcentral lists this ribosomal RNA (468 nucleotides) under uncultured bacterium. RNAcentral describes it as "partial 16S ribosomal RNA". It matches the Rfam family "Bacterial small subunit ribosomal RNA", at positions 28 to 507 of the family's 1533-position model. The record is from RNAcentral.
GACGAACGCUGGCGGCGUGCUUAACACAUGCAAGUCGAACGGAGAUGCUCCAGCUUGCUGGAGUGGAUCAGUGGCGAACGGGUGAGUAACACGUGAGCAACCUGCCCCAGACUCUGGAAUAAGCGCUGGAAACGGCGUCUAAUACCGGAUACGAAACUGGCCCGCAUGGGCAUGGUUUGGAAAGUUUUUCGGUUUGGGAUGGGCUCGCGGCCUAUCAGCUUGUUGGUGAGGUAAUGGCUCACCAAGGCGACGACGGGUAGCCGGCCUGAGAGGGCGACCGGCCACACUGGGACUGAGACACGGCCCAGACUCCUACGGGAGGCAGCAGUGGGGAAUAUUGCACAAUGGGCGAAAGCCUGAUGCAGCGACGCCGCGUGGGGGAUGACGGCCUUCGGGUUGUAAACCUCUUUCGGCAGGGAAGAAGCGAAAGUGACGGUACCUGCAGAAGAAGCACCGGCUAACUACGUG